AACGAACGCUGGCGGCAUGCCUAACACAUGCAAGUCGAACGAGACCUUCGGGUCUAGUGGCGCACGGGUGCGUAACGCGUGGGAACCUGCCUUUAGGUUCGGAAUAACUCAGAGAAAUUUGAGCUAAUACCGGAUGAUGUCUUCGGACCAAAGAUUUAUCGCCUUUAGAUGGGCCCGCGUUGGAUUAGCUAGUUGGUGGGGUAAAGGCCUACCAAGGCGACGAUCCAUAGCUGGUCUGAGAGGAUGAUCAGCCACACUGGGACUGAGACACAGCCCAGACUCCUACGGGAGGCAGCAGUGGGGAAUAUUGGACAAUGGGCGAAAGCCUGAUCCAGCAAUGCCGCGUGAGUGAUGAAGGCCUUAGGGUUGUAAAGCUCUUUUACCCGAGAUGAUAAUGACAGUAUCGGGAGAAUAAGCUCCGGCUAACUCCGUG
This 433-nucleotide ribosomal RNA is filed under the name uncultured bacterium. RNAcentral's name for it is "partial 16S ribosomal RNA". It matches the Rfam family "Bacterial small subunit ribosomal RNA", at positions 29 to 507 of the family's 1533-position model. The record is from RNAcentral.